UGGAGAAGAGGUUCUAAAGCAGUUGGUGGUGGAAAGGAGGAGUCCCCGGGUCUGUUCCAUCCAUACACUGUUGAAGCAAGACACAGAUCUGCGGGACUGGCG
Dipodomys spectabilis (banner-tailed kangaroo rat) is the source of this 102-nucleotide long non-coding RNA. RefSeq lists it as uncharacterized. The record is from RefSeq and is a predicted model, not a curated record. The transcript is spliced from 3 exons. NCBI's taxonomy places the organism in Eukaryota, Metazoa, Chordata, Mammalia, Rodentia, Heteromyidae.